RNAcentral lists this ribosomal RNA (253 nucleotides) under uncultured bacterium. RNAcentral describes it as "partial 16S ribosomal RNA". It matches the Rfam family "Bacterial small subunit ribosomal RNA", at positions 524 to 776 of the family's 1533-position model. The record is from RNAcentral.
UACGGAGGGAGCUAGCGUUGUUCGGAAUUACUGGGCGUAAAGCGCACGUAGGCGGCUACUCAAGUCAGAGGUGAAAGCCCAGGGCUCAACCUUGGAACUGCCUUUGAAACUAGGUAGCUAGAAUUCUGGAGAGGUCAGUGGAAUUCCGAGUGUAGAGGUGAAAUUCGUAGAUAUUCGGAAGAACACCAGUGGCGAAGGCGGCUCACUGGACCGGUAUUGACGCUGAGGUGCGAAAGCGUGGGGAGCAAACAGG